GGAGAGGUGACAGAGCGGCCGAUUGUGCGGCACUGGAAAUGCCGUGUGCGGGUCAAACUGCACCGGGGGUUCGAAUCCCCCCCUCUCCG
RNAcentral lists this transfer RNA (89 nucleotides) under Gemmataceae bacterium. Its description in RNAcentral is "tRNA-Ser". It matches the Rfam family "tRNA". From Rfam's summary of the family: Transfer RNA (tRNA) molecules are approximately 80 nucleotides in length. Their secondary structure includes four short double-helical elements and three loops (D, anti-codon, and T loops). Further hydrogen bonds mediate the characteristic L-shaped molecular structure. tRNAs have two regions of fundamental functional importance: the anti-codon, which is responsible for specific mRNA codon recognition, and the 3' end, to which the tRNAs corresponding amino acid is attached (by aminoacyl-tRNA synthetases). tRNAs cope with the degeneracy of the genetic code in two manners: having more than one tRNA (with a specific anti-codon) for a particular amino acid; and 'wobble' base-pairing, i.e. permitting non-standard base-pairing at the 3rd anti-codon position. The record is from RNAcentral. Lineage: Bacteria; Pseudomonadati; Planctomycetota; Planctomycetia; Gemmatales; Gemmataceae.